GUUAGCAUCACAAAAACGCAGGACUGGCUGAACCUCCUAAAAGAUAAUAUUCAUCUGUAUCCCGCAGGACCGCUGCCGACAAUAAAACCACGUUUAACAGCGAAGAAAAGAAGCAACACGAGUAAAUCUCGGUGUGGCUUUCCACCGCUGGAGACAGCUCCUGAGAGGAAAGAGAUGCGGUUUGAUGCCGAGCUCGCAACUUUCCUGUUAGCCCGGACCUGAGCCAGAACAGCUGCAAUACCGCCGCCAUCUGUCUCACCAACGGCAGAGAGUCUAGACACAGUGAGGAGGAUCUAGGACCAGAAGUCCAGUCUAAUCACCAAUGAUGGACCAGCACCUGCCUUUUCUUCUGCAUCCGGCCUCAGCAAUCAACCCCAUGACAUCAACACCUUGAGGUAUUAUCCCUGCACAUGACGGAUAUUGUCUAUACUGUGAUCUUUUGCACGUCCCCUAAUCAAUACCUUUUGCACAUCUUGCCCAGCAGGAGUUUUUGUCGUUCUAAAACAUUUUUGUACAUAUUUUUGUAGGAUUGUUUUAUUCAUUUUUCUUUUAAUAUAUGUAUCGAUGUAUAUUUAUGUUUGACUGUUGCAGUAUUUUACAUUUUUAUUUUAUUUCCUCUGAAUACGUUAAUUGGAUACUACACCAAGCCAAAUAUCUUGUAAGUGAAAACCUGCUUGGCAAUAAAACCUUAUUUUCUGAGUCUGCCUUUGUGGUGAUGUCGUCAUCCCGUCCUCAUGUUGCUAUAGCCUGCCAAGGACCACCCAUGUGUCCUGCAGUAUCCCCUUGCCUUCAUAUAUCUGCAAGUGUAUGACACUGAGGUUACAAGUAUUUAGAUCCUAUUUUCACACCUGAAUUUAAAUUCUACUUGUUGGAAUUUUGAGCACCACAUUUUACAGCUUUGUGCUUUGCAUGUGUAGAUAGACAGAAGCUCUUCCUCUUUGUGUGUGUGUGUCUUCUUCACAUGUACAUGUAUCAUUUGUUGAGAUUUAGUCAAAGUCUUGUUUUUAUUACAGUAUAUAGUAAAUGAAGUUUAAAUGGAUGAUUCAUACAUCUUAUCUUCUGAAGUCCUUAGAAUGCUUCAAAAACAUUUCAUAGUCAAGAGGAGCUGCUUCUGAUGUAAAUGUUUAUAUAAUGUUUUAUGACGUAGAAAUCAGAAAAUUCUGAUCCUUACAGUAAAAGAUGAGUUUGGUUCCUCCACCAAAAGUCCUCCUCAGUGAUACAAACUCAUUAAGUGGCCGUACAAAAACUUCCUGCACUGAACAAGCAUCUAUCCACUGAAAACAACCUCUCCUUGUUCUGAUAACUCAAUAAAAUAUAAACUAUUUUAAUCUACAGAUUGUUUUUAAAGGUAUAGAUUGAAAAUAAUGUAUAAAUUAAGAUGAUUUCUUCAGUUUAGUUGAACUUUUCUAAACCUGACAGAAAAACCAUCACAGUCUCCUUGUAACAAAGUCACAUUUUUCACAGUUUAUAUCAGUUGAUAUGUGGUUAAAUGAACAUGAUCCUUUUAAUGAUGAUGAUUCAUUUUAAGCAUCAUUAAAAUAUAUGAUUAAUGUAGAGUAAACACUAAAGGCAGACAAACAGACACAUCAUACCAACCACAGUGGACACAAACUGAUCCUUAAAUCCUCAACUGCACUUCUAAUAUAAAUAUUUCCUCCUCUUCCAUUAAGAUCAUAUUUAGUGUAAAUCCAAGCAGCAUUUCUCCUGAUGUUGUGUCCCACGUUGCCUUCAGUCUGUUGAGAGCAGAGAAAUCAUUUCCAUAGAGAGGAGGCUUUGCAUCGUCAGCUGAUCCUCCAGUGAACUGAGAAGGUUUAUAGUCCUGUGAGUUGAACAGUGCAGGACUCAGAUCUGUCAGUCAACACAGCAGAAAGCACAACCACCAUGACUCUCAUCACCAUCCUCAUCUGGACGCUGGCCUGCUGCUGUUUUACAGGAUGCAGCGGUCAGGUGACUGUGACUCAGCCUCCAGUAGAGACAACUACUCCAGGAUCCACUGUCACUCUCACCUGUAAAACUAACCCAGCUGUUUAUUCCAACUGUGCUAAUAUUGGUCAGUGCAUGUUCUGGUACCAACAGAAAUCUGGACAGGCUCCUAAUACAAUAUGUGAGCACACGUGAAUCAGGAACACCAGCUCGGUUUAGUGGCAGUGGAAGCAGCUCUGACUUCAGUUUGACCAUCAGUGGAGUUCAGACUGAAGAUGCAGCAGUUUAUUACUGUCAGCGUUACCACAGUGGUGGAGUGUUCACACAGUGAUUUGUAGUCGUACAAAAACCUCCCUCAGUCAGACUGCAGAGACACUGAGCCGUUAGAGCAGGAAGAGACUCUGACACAGACCACUGAACACAGAGCUGACAGUCACCUCACCAAGCACUAAACACACAUUCACAAUAAAGUACUAUUGAAUAUUUUUAAUUCCUUACAAUCU
This is a long non-coding RNA of Seriola aureovittata, 2426 nucleotides long. RefSeq lists it as uncharacterized. The transcript has 4 exons. NCBI's taxonomy places the organism in Eukaryota, Metazoa, Chordata, Actinopteri, Carangiformes, Carangidae. The record is from RefSeq and is a predicted model, not a curated record.